UCUGGUGACUAUAGCAAGGAGGUCACACCUGUUCCCAUGCCGAACACAGAAGUUAAGCUCCUUAGCGUCGAUGGUAGUCGAACUUACGUUGCGCUAGAGUAGAACGUUGCCAGGC
RNAcentral lists this ribosomal RNA (115 nucleotides) under Staphylococcus aureus. Lineage: Bacteria; Bacillati; Bacillota; Bacilli; Caryophanales; Staphylococcaceae. The record is from RNAcentral.